CCUACGGGAGGCAGCAGUGAGGAAUAUUGGUCAAUGGGCGCAAGCCUGAACCAGCCAAGUAGCGUGCGGGAUGAAGGCCCUACGGGUCGUAAACCGCUUUUGCACGGGGAUAACACCCUCCACUCGUAGAGGUCUGCAGGUACCGUGCGAAUAAGGGCCGGCUAAUUCCGUGCCAGCAGCCGCGGUAAUACGGAAGGUCCGAGCGUUAUCCGGAUUCAUUGGGCUUAAAGGGUGCGUAGGCGGGCGUUCAAGUCAGCUGUAAAAUCGCGCGGCUCAACCGCGCCCCGCAGUUGAAACUGGACGCCUUGAGAUCACAACAGGCAGGCGGAAUGCGUGGUGUAGCGGUGAAAUGCAUAGAGAUCA
RNAcentral lists this ribosomal RNA (363 nucleotides) under uncultured bacterium. RNAcentral's name for it is "partial 16S ribosomal RNA". It matches the Rfam family "Bacterial small subunit ribosomal RNA", at positions 338 to 699 of the family's 1533-position model. The record is from RNAcentral.